Molecule: long non-coding RNA, 1450 nt
Filed under: Sus scrofa (pig)
Lineage: Eukaryota; Metazoa; Chordata; Mammalia; Artiodactyla; Suidae
Description: lncRNA (ENSSSCG00065054116.1)
Source: RNAcentral
GGAGGUUCCCAGGCUAGAGGUCUAAUCAGAGCUGUAGCCGCCAGCCUAUGCCACAGCCAGAGCAACGUGGGAUCCUUAACCCACUGAGCAAGGCCAGGGAUCGAACCAGUAACCUCAUGGUUCCUAGUUAGAUUCGUUAACCACUGAGCCAUGACAGAAACUCCUAGAAAGUAAUUCUUACGUGACUUUUGUUAUAAUUACCAAAUGAUAUUUGAUGUUGGUAUAUAUUAGUACGUAGUACAUGUAAAAAACUUUAUGCAUCAAACUUUGAAUGUUUAUAUAUACAUAUAUGAAGUUUUACUGAGGAGGUAGAAGGUCAGAACCAAACAAAUUUGGAAACUACUCCUACAGAAGCUGCAAGCUUAUUGCAGACUGCCAUAAAACUCAGCAGGAGGAAUUCCUGAAACAGAUGGGAAACUCUGUUCUCACCCACAAGGGGAAGGAUUAGUAUGGGCACCACAGGGCCCCAAGCUCUAGUUAAAGUUGGGAACUCCCUCUACAUUUUUCAAGAAACCAAAGAUUGACCAUACCUGCCUUUCCUUAGUGUGGAACUUCUCAGAGCUUUAAAACAUUGACAUGCAUUGAGAAUACUCAGCAGUUCCUUGAAUGUUACAGAAUCCUGUGUGUGUGUGUGAAUGUGUGUGUGUGUUGCAUCUCAAAGGGCUAUUGCUUUAUGAUCACAGUUUUGAAGAAACCCCGAGAUAGACAAUUAUUUCUUUUUUCUUCUUACAUUUCAUUCACAAAUGAUAUCAGCUGGCCCUUCAAGUCAAUAACAUUCUGUCAUGAGCCUUUCCCUCUAUGGACCUUAAGCAACUCUCUAAAUAGGGACGGCUCUGCUUAAAACUACUUGCAAACGUUCCUGGCAAGAAACUCCUAAGGAAGUAUUUGAGCAUGGUAGUGUAUAUUUAAGUGCAGAUGUUAUAUAUAUCAUAAAAGGUAUAAGGGGUUUCCCAUGAUAUAACUUUAAAGAACUGGUUGCUCACUCAUGCAUGGGUGGCUUGGUGCCAAAGAAGAUGACCACUCUUGGUAACAGCCAUGACUAAAGUACAUUCCAGUUAGCCCCUGCAGUAUGCAGAAUAAUGGCCCCCUAAAGAUGUCACUUCCUAAUUCCUAAAGCCUGUGACUAUGUCAUCUUACAUGGCAAAAAGUACUUUGCAGAUGUAUUUAAAUUAAAACUUUGAGAUAGCGUGAUUAUCCUGAAUUUUCUGGGUGUGUGAAUAUCUAGUGUGACUACUAAUGUAAUUACAGUGGUCCUUAAAAGUGAAGAAGGAGGAAAAUGUAAUCACAGGGUUCUUAGAACUGGAAGGAAGCAGAGAAAGAUGUGACCAUGGAAGAGUGAUCAGAGAGACGCAGCAUUGAUGGCAUACAGGUGGAAGAGGGCUAUAACCUAAGGAAUGUGAAUGCCUCAGGAUGCUGGAAAAAGGCAAGGAAAAGGGAACCUCUCUAGAGC